CCCGCACAAGCGGUGGAGCAUGUGGUUAAUUCGAAGCAACGCGAAGAACCUUACCAGGUCUUGACAUCCCGAUGCUAUUUCUAGAGAUAGAAAGUUACUUCGGUACAUCGGUGACAGGUGGUGCAUGGUUGUCGUCAGCUCGUGUCGUGAGAUGUUGGGUUAAGUCCCGCAACGAGCGCAACCCCUAUUGUUAGUUGCCAUCAUUCAGUUGGGCACUCUAGCGAGACUGCCGGUAAUAAACCGGAGGAAGGUGGGAUGACGUCAAAUCAUCAUGCCCCUUAUGACCUGGGCUACACACGUGCUACAAUGGUUGGUACAACGAGUUGCGAGUCGGUGACGGCGAGCUAAUCUCUUAAAGCCAAUCUCAGUUCGGAUUGUAGGCUGCAACUCGCCUACAUGAAGUCGGAAUCGCUAGUAAUCGCGGAUCAGCACGCCGCGGUGAAUACGUUCCCGGGUCUU
This 459-nucleotide ribosomal RNA is filed under the name uncultured Streptococcus sp. RNAcentral's name for it is "bacterial SSU rRNA". It matches the Rfam family "Bacterial small subunit ribosomal RNA", at positions 920 to 1382 of the family's 1533-position model. The record is from RNAcentral. Lineage: Bacteria; Bacillati; Bacillota; Bacilli; Lactobacillales; Streptococcaceae.